Molecule: unclassified non-coding RNA, 535 nt
Filed under: Aspergillus pseudoglaucus
Lineage: Eukaryota; Fungi; Ascomycota; Eurotiomycetes; Eurotiales; Aspergillaceae
Description: sequence contains ITS1, 5.8S rRNA gene, ITS2
Rfam family: 5.8S ribosomal RNA (bases 155-308)
Source: RNAcentral
AAGGAUCAUUACCGAGUGCGGGCCCUCUGGGUCCAACCUCCCAUCCGUGUCUAUCUGUACCCUGUUGCUUCGGCGUGGCCACGGCCCGCCGAAGACUAACAUUUGAACACUGUCUGAAGUUUGCAGUCUGAGUUUUUAGUUAAACAAUAAUUAAAACUUUCAACAACGGAUCUCUUGGUUCCGGCAUCGAUGAAGAACGCAGCGAAAUGCGAUAAUUAAUGUGAAUUGCAGAAUUCAGUGAAUCAUCGAGUCUUUGAACGCACAUUGCGCCCCCUGGUAUUCCGGGGGGCAUGCCUGUCCGAGCGUCAUUGCUGCCCUCAAGCACGGCUUGUGUGUUGGGCUUCCGUCCCUGGUAACGGGGACGGGCCCAAAAGGCAGUGGCGGCACCAUGUCUGGUCCUCGAGCGUAUGGGGCUUUGUCACCCGCUCCCGUAGGUCCAGCUGGCAGCUAGCCUCGCAACCAAUCUUUUUAACCAGGUUGACCUCGGAUCAGGUAGGGAUCCCGCUGAACUUAAGCAUAUCAAUAAGCGGAGGAA